This 255-nucleotide ribosomal RNA is filed under the name uncultured bacterium. Its description in RNAcentral is "partial 16S ribosomal RNA". It matches the Rfam family "Bacterial small subunit ribosomal RNA", at positions 524 to 776 of the family's 1533-position model. The record is from RNAcentral.
UACGUAGGGUGCGAGCGUUAAUCGGAAUUACUGGGCGUAAAGCGUGCGCAGGCGGUUCGUUGUGUCGGUGGUGAAAGCCCCGGGCUUAACCUGGGAAUGGCCAUGGAAACUGGCGAACUGGAGUGUGGCAGAGGGGGGUGGAAUUCCGCGGUGUAGCAGUGAAAUGCGUAGAGAUGCGGAGGAACACCGAUGGCGAAGGCAGCCCCCUGGGCUAGCACUGACGCCUCAGGCACGAAAGCGUGGGGAGCAAACAGG